Long non-coding RNA from Triticum aestivum (bread wheat), 2234 nucleotides. RefSeq lists it as uncharacterized. Lineage: Eukaryota; Viridiplantae; Streptophyta; Magnoliopsida; Poales; Poaceae. The record is from RefSeq and is a predicted model, not a curated record. The transcript has 2 exons.
UAGAAAACCAACCUAGUCCCGCACCUCCUCUGCCCUGAUUCGUCCCACGUCACCCCAUCCUGCCCCGGGAACUAGCCACCGCGCCGCCACCGGUCCCAAAAUCAGGUCGCCGCGCCACUCCCUCCCCGGGAUUCGGCCGCCGCGCCACCAACCGGCCCCGGAUCCGGCCGCUGCGCCACCCCGUCCAUGAAUCCGACCGCCGCGCCGCCUUUGCCCUGGAUCCGACCCCACUGCUGCCUGCCACCAUCAUGCAACGGCCUUGCCGCUGUUUCUGGAACAUGGUCGCGCCGCUGCGUAUGGUGCGCCGCCGUGCCUCUCCUGCCACCCAGGCUACUCGGCCUCACCUAGCUCGUCCUACCAAUGACGACCUCCUGCCAUGUGCGCCUCCUUCCUGCUCCACCCCGGCCACGAGCGCCUCCCCGGUUUCUCUGUUCGCUGCCACCAGCCGCCAUCGACGGCACGCCUAGCAGUGUACCGCCAUUGCCAACCAUCAGCCUCCUACCGACCCCCAGCUGCUUCGCCCGUUGCCAUGUUGAACUUCUCGUGGAGGCCGCUUUGACCUUCCUGAGUUAGCUUCAUAUUUGUUUUUUUUUUGUGCUCGACGGUGAGACACGAUCUCCUUCAGCUCUCUUGUUCUUCCUGCAAACAAGGUCGGGUUCAGUUUUGGUGGCUUGACGCUGCAUGCUCUGGUUGCUACUUGAACUGCUUGCUGCACCUGUUACACCUUCUCCUCCUAGUCCUCAAUCAAUGGACACAACAUGGCUGUAAUGUUCCUGCUAUUCAAAUUACUCUAAACUUGUAUGGUCGACACUUCAAUUUUUCGCUCUUCCAGGUGGCAUUCAGAAGCUCAGCUCGGCGCCAUGCAGGAUGCUGCAGAGCUGCCGUGGUGAGCCUGCUGAGUAGAGGUCGAGGCGCUGGAGUCCGGCGGCGCUGCUGCAUGCCAUGUGCUCUUUUUGGCUGAGGUCGAGCUGCUGGAGUGCGGUGGUGCUCGUUACCCUCCUAGAGUCCGGUGUUGCUGUUGGCUUUAUCUUGUUGCUGUUUGUCUAACUGUGAGAGAGAGCAUGUAUUUUCUCUUCCUGUACACUUACUACUCUGAAUAAUUGGAUCCCGUCAGUAGGUUGGUGUUGUACUAAAUAAUGCAACGUAAUUAACAAUCUACGUGUUUGGGUUGCACUGUCGCUAGUGUAUUUCCUACAGUUUGUAUAGUUUCCUUAGUUUCUUUCGAUUUGUACUUUCAUUUUGUUAAAUAUAUGUCUCUUGAUGAAAUCCUUACCUGUACAACAUUGAGAGGUGGAAGUGUGCAGGGACGCACCGUCCAAGUCCCAAUUGCCCUGACGGUGACCCAACACCAUCACAGUCCAGCCCCGUAGCGUCAGGGAGGUCGAGGCCAUCGCGAGCAGAAGUCCAUAGCAGAAGGUGAUGGUCAGCGUAGCACUUCCAUCCCAUCCAUGUUCAGCAUAUUUUUGAUUUUGGGUAGCAACAAUGCGUAAUGUAUGGAAGCCAGUCAGGCUCGCACUUCCUCAUCUCCCGCUGUCGGCGACGACACUCCCUUCCUCCAGCGCCGCACGUCACCGGCGCGGCCAACCGCCUACACCGGCUUCGAUUGCAACCAUGGCGUCUCUUUCUGUCAACCUCUUCGUCUCCCCUGCACGUCAGUUUGACUGCCUAUAAACAAAAUUCUUUAGUUUACAUGUCUGAAAUUAAGGAGUUCAUGGUAUGCAUUAUAACAAAAAUUGCUGAAUUUUUAGCAGUUCUACUACAUAUGUUAAGAGUUCAUUGACAAAAGAAAAUCAUCAAUUCGGCAAUGGAAUCUGCAAAUGUUUAUGGUGCAGAAAAUUUCAUAACCGGUGUUCGAGUUUGUUUGACCGAGAAAGGAAGAUACUUGGCUGGAAGAAGUUCAUUCGUUAUGACACUGAUAGCUAAAAUCCUCUCUCCAUCAACUCAUGUAAUCUGUCGCAUUCGGCACCUGAGGAUGACUCUCCCUAGGAGACGAAGAACCCAACCGAUGCUUCUUAGUUGAGGCACGUCAGGAGCUCCCCUCCUAUGGUGUAGUGGCACAAAACUGUGUGUGUGGACGCGUUGUUGUGUCAGCUGAAGAAGUUCAAAUGCAGGGAAACAGGAACUACGCCAUGUACUAGGGCUAUGUGUCGGCCUCGUUGAAGUUCUACUAAGCUAUACGCCAGAUUUACCGGUUAUUGGUGAAAAAAAACAGUUAUUAACCAAACACUUUUUCA